GCUAGAGAGAAGAAAAUGCUCUGUGCCAGCAGCUGAAGUGCAAGCGGGUGACUGCGGUGCAGCUGAUGUGUGACCCAUGGACUGCAGGCCAGUCUCAGUUGGAUAGCUGGACACAACUGUUUCCCUGCCCUGGAAAUGGACCCAAAGGAAUCAGAAACAAAGGACGCUGAUGCUGCUUUUCAUCUUCUGCCCAAGGAGAAUAAAUGUUUGUGCAAACCUUUUUUCAUGUGGCUGCCCAGAAAUGACCCAAGUGAAGCCAAGAAGCUGAACAUUAAGCAACCACCCCCUGGCCAUGCUGCUGAAAUGAGAGAACGUGUCCUCUGACCCUGCAUGACAUUGCCCACUUGUAAAUUUUCUUGCCUGAAGAUUUGCUGCUCUGCUGUGCCUCAGAGGGGAAAAGCUGCAGCCAUGACUGACCUAAAGGGCUCACCCACAUCACACCAAAUAUCCCUUCCUCAGCACCAGUUGGCCAAACUCCAUCGUGGGAGCCUGCAGCUCCUGCAGUGUCCCUGGGGAGGACACUGUGAGUCCCAGCCCCUGCAGCUGGAGCAGAGCUCUCCCUGAGCCCCUCAUACACAGAUUUUACCUGAGCAAACACAGGCCAGAAGGGACCUGCAGUGACAUCCACCAGGGAUCUGCACCACACUGCCCAGCAGGCAAGACUUACAGGGGGGGCACCUUUUCUCUGCAAUCUAGCCAC
This is a long non-coding RNA of Poecile atricapillus (Black-capped chickadee), 700 nucleotides long. RefSeq lists it as uncharacterized. Lineage: Eukaryota; Metazoa; Chordata; Aves; Passeriformes; Paridae. The record is from RefSeq and is a predicted model, not a curated record. The transcript has 5 exons.